GAUGAAGAACGUAGCGAACUGCGAUAAGUAAUGUGAAUUGCAGAAUUCAGUGAAUCAUCGAGUCUUUGAACGCACAUUGCGCCCCCUGGCAUUCCGGGGGGCAUGCCUGUCCGAGCGUCAUUGCUGCCCUCAAGCACGGCUUGUGUGUUGGGCCUCCGUCCUCCUCCCGGGGGACGGGCCCGAAAGGCAGCGGCGGCACCGCGUCCGGUCCUCGAGCGUAUGGGGCUUCGUCACCCGCUCUUGUAGGCCCGGCCGGCGCUUGCCGACACAUCAAUCUUUUUUCCAGGUUGACCUCGGAUCAGGUAGGGAUACCCGCUGAACUUAAGCAUAUCAAUAAGCGGAGGA
Molecule: unclassified non-coding RNA, 345 nt
Filed under: soil metagenome
Description: partial contains 5.8S ribosomal RNA, internal transcribed spacer 2, and large subunit ribosomal RNA
Rfam family: 5.8S ribosomal RNA (bases 1-120)
Source: RNAcentral